This 414-nucleotide ribosomal RNA is filed under the name uncultured microorganism. RNAcentral describes it as "bacterial SSU rRNA". It matches the Rfam family "Archaeal small subunit ribosomal RNA", at positions 459 to 872 of the family's 1478-position model. The record is from RNAcentral.
CAGCCGCCGCGGUAAUACCGGCGGCCCGAGUGGCGGUCACUAUUAUUUGGCUUAAAGCGUCCGUAGCCGGGUUGGGAAGUCCUCCGGGAAAUCUGGCCGCUUAACGGUCAGAAUGCCGGAGGAUACUCCCAGCCUAGGGAGCGGGAGAGGCCGAGGGUGUUCCCGGAGGAGGGGUGAAAUCCUAUAAUCCCGGGAGGACCACCUGUGGCGAAGGCGCUCGGCUGGAACGCGUCCGACGGUGAGGGACGAAGGCCAGGGGAGCAAACCGGAUUAGAUACCCGGGUAGUCCUGGCUGUAAACGAUGCGGACUUUGUGUCGGACAAGCUAUGAGCUUGUCCGGUGCCGGAGGGAAACCGUUAAGUCCGCCGCCUGGGGAGUACGGCCGCAAGGCUGAAACUUAAAGGAAUUGGCGGG